ACACUCUUAAAAGUUGGAGUUAGUUGUGAUAGGGGCAAAAAUGGCCCCUAGCUAGCUCCAUCCCAAAGUUCUAUAAAUUGGCUGCUACCCAUAUCUAAUUUCCUUCACUCAACUGUCUAGCAUUUCCUCUCUCGCUUGUCUUUCCUCUCAAAGAUUCAAUUUUUAAUGAAAAUGGCUUUCACUGGGUUUUUCUUGGUGGGUUUUCUAGCAAUGGUCUCAUCUGUUCAUGGGUAUAGUGGUGGAGGUUGGACUAAUGCUCAUGCUACCUUCUAUGGGGGUGGUGAUGCUUCUGGGACAAUGGGUGGAGCUUGUGGCUAUGGGAACUUGUAUAGCCAAGGGUAUGGGACAAACACUGCAGCUUUGAGCACAGCUCUGUUCAACAAUGGGUUGAGCUGUGGGUCUUGCUAUGAGAUCAAGUGUGUGAGUGACCCCAGGUGGUGUUUGCCUGGCUCCAUUAUGGUUACAGCCACCAAUUUCUGCCCACCAAACAAUGCUCUUCCUAACAACAAUGGGGGUUGGUGCAACCCUCCCCAGCACCACUUUGAUCUCUCUCAGCCUGUCUUCCAGCACAUUGCCCAAUACAAAGCUGGAAUAGUGCCUGUGGCUUACAAAAGGGUACCCUGUAGUAGAAAGGGAGGCAUAAGGUUCACCAUCAAUGGCCACUCUUACUUCAACCUUGUCCUGGUCACAAACGUUGGUGGUGCUGGUGAUGUCCAUGCUGUUUCCAUCAAAGGGUCCAGAACUGGUUGGCAAGCAAUGUCAAGGAACUGGGGUCAGAACUGGCAGAGCAACACUUACCUCAAUGGCCAAGCCCUCUCAUUCAAGGUCACCACCAGUGAUGGCCGUACUGUGGUCUCUAACAAUGUUGCUCCAGGUGGUUGGUCCUUUGGGCAGACCUACAGUGGUGCACAAUUCUAGACACAACAAACCCAUUUGUGUCUUUCCCCUUAAGUUUUAGCCUAAUAGUUUGCUAAGGAUUAUAUUUAUGAUUAUAUAAUAUUUUACUAAGUACUACCAAAUUAGUAUACUAGGAUAUUAGAUUUAGUAUACUAAAUUUGUGGGGUCAGUAUAUAUUGGCCUCUCUUUGAGUCAGAAAUGUGAAGGGCUAAUUUUAAAUGGCUUUUCAUCAUUUUAAUUGGACCAAAUUGUUCUUAAGGGUACCCAUGGGGGACCCUUUUUGUUCUUGGGGUCUUUGUUUUUUGCUUCUGUUAUAUGUAUCAGAAGAUGGCAGAGGUGAUCUUUUACCACCCGCCAGUACCAGUAGUAUUUGAAAUAGUUCUAUAUCUCUAGGAUCAAUUUUUGCUUUUUUUUUUUUUUUUUUUUCGAAGGUCAUUGUAACGGCUUCUGCUGACUAAAAAUGUGUCAUGUGGUUGUUAUGUUUGAACCGUAUUGGAGAUUAUUAUAUAAGCCUAAAUUUCUAUUUUCUACUAGUAAUGAGAAGGGUUGCUAGUUUAUUUUAA
Quercus robur (English oak) is the source of this 1460-nucleotide RNA transcript. It is a transcript of the gene named expansin-A1-like, with no coding region annotated. The transcript is spliced from 5 exons. NCBI's taxonomy places the organism in Eukaryota, Viridiplantae, Streptophyta, Magnoliopsida, Fagales, Fagaceae. The record is from RefSeq and is a predicted model, not a curated record.